Molecule: transfer RNA, 72 nt
Filed under: Cavia porcellus (domestic guinea pig)
Lineage: Eukaryota; Metazoa; Chordata; Mammalia; Rodentia; Caviidae
Rfam family: tRNA
About the family: Transfer RNA (tRNA) molecules are approximately 80 nucleotides in length. Their secondary structure includes four short double-helical elements and three loops (D, anti-codon, and T loops). Further hydrogen bonds mediate the characteristic L-shaped molecular structure. tRNAs have two regions of fundamental functional importance: the anti-codon, which is responsible for specific mRNA codon recognition, and the 3' end, to which the tRNAs corresponding amino acid is attached (by aminoacyl-tRNA synthetases). tRNAs cope with the degeneracy of the genetic code in two manners: having more than one tRNA (with a specific anti-codon) for a particular amino acid; and 'wobble' base-pairing, i.e. permitting non-standard base-pairing at the 3rd anti-codon position.
Source: Rfam by way of RNAcentral
GGGGAUGCAGCUCACUGGCAGAGCACUUGCCUAACAUGCAGGGGGCCCUGGGUUCAAUCCCCAGUAUUACAA